This 14523-nucleotide long non-coding RNA is filed under the name Populus trichocarpa (black cottonwood). RNAcentral's name for it is "long non-coding RNA (PTRI_LNC003903)". Lineage: Eukaryota; Viridiplantae; Streptophyta; Magnoliopsida; Malpighiales; Salicaceae. The record is from RNAcentral.
GGAGAGUAAGGUGGCGAGUCCAAGCACCAAGUAGUGUUGUAGCUUUGAACUGCAACUGUUCUAUUUGUUCCAUGAGGGCUAGCAUUCAGUUCAUUGUCCCUUCUGAAAAGUUUGAGCUUCUAGGAGAUUCCAAAGAAUUUCUUACAACCUACACUUUUGGCACGCAUACAGCGAAGCACACAUUCUGUAAGUUCUGUGGCAUAACUUCAUUUUACGUUCCACGAGCAAAUCCAGAUGGGUUUUCAAUUACUUUAAGAUGUGUUGACCCUGGGACUCUCACUCAUGUUGAGAUUAAGAACUUUGAUGGGCAGAAUUGGGAAAGGUCAUACAAUCAGGCAUUUGCUUCAUCCUCUCAAGGUGCUGGCUGCUGAAGUGUCGUUCUUUCUACCACCACUCUCCUCGCCUUCCCUCCCUAAAGUAGUACAAUAUUAUGGAAAAACCUUUGUGAUAUCGCUCUUUGGAACAUUCUCAAAGUUGGAAAAUAAAAUUAGCAAUGUUAGCUAAUUGAUUGGUUAUACGUGUAGCUAAUUGAUUGGUUACUUGUGCUAUUGACUUUGUUCAUGUUUUAAUAAAGACUUUCUUCAUCCUUAAUGAGGUACAAGCCUGAGCGCUUACAAAUUUCAGAUUUGAAGGAAGUUCCCCGAGUGAUUGAAGCCUCUUGCAAUCAUCCAAAUAUAGAUAUUCAAGAUUGGAAAGUUCAUGGAUAGUUGCAGGUAGGCUAGUAAAGUUGUUGCCACUCACGUUUAAUACACUUAAUGAAGUUAAGCAGCUGAAAUCACCGGGAAUUGAUUCUUCCUGUAGAUUGCAGUUACUUAAAUCCAACGCUAUAAAAGAGCAUAAUCCUGAGAAUGAAUUCAAUGACAAACUCAAGGAAUUUGUCCUUUUUUCCCGAAACGAGGAUAAAAACAUCAUCCGUGUCUUAAGCAGCUGUCCUUUACAUCCACGAAGAGAUAGCUUUUUAAGCUUUCUGACGAGAGAGAAGGAAGAUGGUGGCUGUCUUCUAAUAGCAGUUCCACUUAUAUCAAGCUCCUCCAAACUUUCUGCAUGACCCAAUUCCUCCAGCCUAUAAAGUUUUCAACAUCCAGAUAAGUCGAAAGUUUCAAGGGCUUUUAAACCAUAUGCACUCUUAGGAAGACUUGCAAGCUUUUUGCUGUCAUUCAGGUUUAAUAAAACGAGGCUUUCGAGAACUCCAACUGAUUGGUCAAUCUCAUGCAAUUUUGUGUAACCUUAAAGAAUCAGCUUCUCAAGAUUUCGGACCUCUCUAAAAUCCGGUGUCUUACAAGAUCGAGGGAGUAACUGAGAUUGAUGAGUUUCAUCUUGUUAAAAUUCUGUUAAGAAGCCGAAGGAAACACUGAAAACCAGUUUCCAUGAACUUUUCCCUUUUUUUUGGUUUAACAAAUGAAACAUACGUAAGUGGUAAUCAUGCCUGCUCUCCCUUCCAUAGUUGUUCAACUUGGCUAUAACUCAAAUCCAUAAGUUCCUCUGGAUGAAAACUCAAUGGCAACGUUUUGAAAGGAUAUUCAUCCCAUUUGAGAAUCCGUAACUCAUUAGAAAGAUAUUGGAGGCUAUGUGUAACAGUGUCAAAUGUGCAUGGGAUGCACACUUCGGCAGGCUGUCCAAAACAGGGCCUAAGGGUGCUGGCAGCCAUGCCAACAGUGGGAAAAAUCGGCAGCGCAGAUUUAUGCGGCUGUAGGUUCGUCAAAGGAAAAUCGGCAGCGCAGAUUGCAUGAGCUUGACGAUGGAAUGUCCAAGUCAGGCAGGAAAACUCGUCAGGGGCAUAGGCUGACGAGAACAGGGGCUGUCGAGGGAUUCGGCAGCGAAGACAUUGGCAGCCUGCACGCAGAUGCGAAUUCGGCAGCGCGCAACAGCUUGUGCAAGUCAGGGGCUCGACUUGGCACGAUCAAAAAGUUGGACGAAGGACUGUCCAAGGCAUACGAAUGACUCAACGGCUGACGCAGCAAGAGCUGGCAGAUGGGGCUGCCAGGUGGGCAUGCAGAACGUGGGUUAGUGGCUGUUAUGGGCAUCCAAGAUCAUGGGAUCAUGGGACAUGUGCUGGAGAACGUGGGGGCAUGGCUGGAAGUGCUCUCAACCCACUAAGAUCAUGGGAGAUCAUGGGGAGAAAACUACCCACUACUUGGUAGAUAAUGGGGCCACUAUGUUCAUGGGUGAACAUGGGUGAGAUAGUGUCCCACUACUUCCUAAAAUGUAGGAAUGAAAGUUGUGCCUUGUAAAUGCUUGUCUAUAAAUAGUGGCUGCAGCUCUUGGUUAUGUAUGCAUGUAGAGCACAAGAUUAGAGAGAGUAGCUUGGUGUAGCAUGCAAUCUUUGUGCAUAGCACACAUACAGAUUUGUGUAAAGUUUUCUUUGUUUACGAGAUCAAUAAAGGUUGGGAAAGAGUUCCUAUAAAGCUUGUUGUGCACUUUGUUUAUCCUAUUCUUCUUGUGUAUUCCGCUUGUCUUCUAACUUGGGUGAGGGAAACACUUAGUUACUAGGCAAACACGAGUGGGAUUGGCGAGGGAAGGCUGAGUCUAGCGAGGGACUAGGCUGCCGCACGGGUAUAUUCGCGGAGCAAAAAAUUACCCCGUGACACUAUGGGAGAAGCGCGCAUUACGAAUAUGAGCAACAAUCUUAGUUUUGUCAUCUUCGAGAAUGAUAGAGCACUUAAUUGUGCCCCUGCUGGUCUUGGUAAGUAUAGGGAUAUGCCUUCAACAUCCUCUGUUCCCUGACAAAGAGGCAAAUUAGCACAAGGAAAAUUGAAGAAUCUAAAGAAAACCAAACACAGCUAUCCAGUUUGAAGAAAGAGUUUUUUCACAGGGUAUCAUACUGUAUUUUUUGUCAAGACAUGAUCAAUAUCCUUAUAAGGCCAUAGCCUCCUGCGUUUUCCUGGUUCCUCUGGAGAUUCUUGCCGAACAAGCUUCCAGCCCAUUUGUUGAAGCAAAUCGUGCAUCCAUAGAGUGUUGUUAUUUGAAACAGUUAUGAGAGAUUUAUCGAUGAGAACUCUUAUUCCAAUAUCCGGGUAGACACCACAGCUGUCCCCCAUUUUUGCUAUGUGAUCUCUGUCGUUUCCCUUAAAAAAACAUGCUAUAUCCAGGAAUAUUUUCUUUUCUGUUUCCUCGAGUCCAUCAAAACUUUUUUGAAGUGUAUCCAGAAUUUCUUUGUCAGGAUUUUCUUUCAUUCUAUCUAAUGCACUUUUCCAUUCUUUUAAAGUCUUGUCAAACAAAAGGAACCCAAUAUUUCAAGAGCUAAUGGAUGGCCAUUCGCAUGAUCUAUAACCAAAGUUGACGGUGUCAUAUACUCUUCUGGAGGAUGGUUAGUUUUGAAGGCUUUCAAACUAAAAAGCUGGAGUUUUUCAUCAUCAUUUAAUCCCCCAGACUUGUAUAUUUUAUCCACCCGAUGCCUGACAAGCACAUUUAUAUCCCUAGUUGUUAUGAUGAUUCUACUCCCUAAACCAAACCAAUCACGCUUUCCAGCCAAUUUUUCUAAUUGGUUCAAAUGGUCCGCAUCAUCCAUCAACAACUAUCAAAACACGUUGACGUCGCAUCCUAGUAUUCAUCAUCUCGGUUCCAUGAUACACAUUCCAUAUUUUCACAUUUUCUGCCUUAAGGAUUUCGCAAAGAACUUGUUCUUGUAAAGUUAGCAUGCCACCUUUUGAUGAAACUUCCCUAACAUUAGCUAGAAAGGUGCUACCCUCAAAUCGGGGUGACGUUCGAUUGUAGUAAGCUCGUGCAAGAGUUGUCUUUCCUAUUCCUCCCAUCCCACAAAUUCCUAUGAUGCGAACAUCAUUAGACCCUAGAUCCAUAUAAGAGCCCAGCUUAACCAAACGUCUAUUCAUUAUAGUAGAUGAUAAUACAGGGCUCAGUAUACUCAGUAUGCUUUGCACAAUAUCUUGUAUAAAGUUUGAUUCAUGCCUAUAAAGUGGAAGGAUGAAUAAGAAAGUUUCGAGUCGUAAUAAACUAUGAAGGAAAAAAAAUAAAUCAGUGUUCGCUGCAUAUUACAAUUAAAAAAAAUGGCAUAUGACAUCAUGUGUCAUACUUAGAAGAAGGGGAGGUCAUGUUAAUGCAGAAAAUAUAAGCGUGCAUCUCUUAGUGCAAAGAUUUAUACAGACAUGUACUAUUUAAAGGAUAGACAGAAGGGCUUAAACUUAUAAAAUUCUGGAAAUUUUUGCAGUAACUGAUAUCUGCCAAAGUUUGAGUCUUUCCCAGCUGAAAUUGUAGUUCUGAUAUUUGUGAUUGUUUGAAAAUGAUUUGGCUUUUAAGCAAACUCAGUGAAUUUUGUUACAGUUUCUUUUUUAGACAGAUGGCUAAAUAUAGAUAGAUAAACUGAAAGAGAAAGAGUUGCAUUCAACAUCUGCUUGUUUUUCAAAGUCAAUGACUGCUGGGCUGCUGGCCAUGUUGAAAAUGUUAUAUAUACUUUUGAAAAAUCAAAUGAAAAUUGUUGUUUAAAGUAUUUUUUAUUUUAAAAUAUAUUAAAGUAAUUUGUUUUAUUUUUAAAAUUUUAAUUUUGAUAUCAGUAUAAUAAAAAUAAAUAAUUUAUAAUAAAAAAAUUAAAAUUUUAUAAAAAAAUGUUAUAAUCGCAAAACAAACAAUCAUAUAGAUUAUAUUUUUUUAAAAAGACUUUAAAAAUAAAUGCAACCAGAAAAAAAUUAAGCAUGUAUAUCUUUGCCUUAAUUUUCCUUUUCUAAAUAUCGUUUAGUGACAAAAUUUACCAUGUAAAAUGCCCUCCAACUUUUAUUCUUUCUUUGUGCCCAUGCUUAUUUCAUUUUAAGUGAUUUUUAGAAUGUUUUUUUGAUAGAAAAACAUCUCAAAAUAAAAUUUAAUUGAUAUCUUUUCAACUCAAACAUGUAUUUGUUAUCAGUGAAAAUGGUGAGAAAUUCAAGGAAAGUGUAAUGCUUCUUUACCAUCAAAACUCAAAGCCAUGCUAUGAGUUCAGAACUUCAUCAGAUGUACUGAUUUAAAAUAUUGGCUUUCAUUGUUACAUGACUGAAGAUGAAAGUCUUUAGAAGUUCACAUUACUUGCAGGUCUAACUAGGUUGGUGCCUCUCAGACCUUUUAAAUAGAGAAAAAAUAAAGAGGGGAUAAAAACAAAAAUGACGAUCAUACCUUUAUCCCCUCCAAAGUCGUUCAACUUUGCUACAGCACGUAUCAAGUUUAAUAAGUUCCUCUGAAUGGACAAUGGCAAGUUCUUGAAAGGAUAUUCAUGCCAUUUGAGAAUCUGUGACUCAUUACAAAGCUAUUAAAGUCUACACACAUUAGGGAAUACUGAUGAUCUUAAUGUGCAUGUCCUGUUGCUGGUAAUUCUGGGUUUAUCUCUUCAAUAUCUUCUGUUCCCUAACAAUUAAACAUACAAUUCCAACAAGCUAAGAAUGCAAGGAAUGGUUUUAUGUGAUGUCUCUCAGUGUAUUUCAUGUCUAGGCAAGGCAGAUAUCCUUACAGAGCCAUAGCCUCGGAAAUCUCUUACGAUUUUCCUGGCUCCUUGGAAAUUCUUGUCGAGCAAGUUCUUAAAACAAAUCUUGCAUCGAUAAUCAGCUGUUUUCCUUAAAGUUGGUCGAGACAUUUACCAAUGAGAACUUGUCCCAAUAACUGGCAAGAAACCUCAGGUGACACACAUUUCUGUUGUAUUCAGCUUUGUGCUUUCCCUUAAAAAACAUGCAAUAUCUGUGAAAAUUUUCUUUCCAUACCCUCUAAUCCAUUAAAACUUGUUGACUUUUAUCCAAGAGUUCUUUUCCUGGAUUUUCUUUCAUUCUUGCUAGAGCGGGACUUAAACAUCCAUGAGUCAAUGAUAUAAGGAUUGAUUUGCAAGGAAUUUUAAUAUAGAGGUUAAAAUGAUUAACAUUUAGAACUUGGAGGAUCACAAAAGUAAUUUGCUUUAAAAAAGGUUGAUUGCAUGGAGCUGUCCUUUCUUUUCAUUGCAUUCCAAGAUUGUCAAUUAUGUUUGUUUUAUUUAGAAUGACUGAUAUAUCUCAUUUCAAUUUAAAAAAUAAAAUAAAUUAGAAUAAAUUUUAUUUUGUUCAAAAUCUUGUCCUGUUCUAGAAAUUUCGUUUAAAUUCCAGUUGAAGUGUUCUGGUUCUAUUCUGCAUGUUAUUUUCCUGUCAAAUAAUAUUUUUUUUGGUUUUUUAUUUUUUUAAAAAUGUUACAGUUUUAUGAUGUCAAUCAUAUUUACAACCCGGUAAUCAUCAAAUGAUGAAUGGAGUGAACUUUGCAUCUGCAGGAACUGGUGCCCUUGUGGAAACUCAUCAAGGAAAAGUACAUGAUCUUAUUGAUUAAGCCCUUCUUUUUGUGUGUGUUUUAGCUUAGGCUUCUUGUUCAUCACAGCUAAAUAGUCCGUAGAAUUUGCUUAUUGGUGCAAAUCCAGCAUUAUUAACUUGGUCUGCAUCUUAAUAUUGUUCUCAUUUGUUCCCAUUCAUUGAAAAGGUGAUAGACCUUAAAACACAAUUACGUUAUUUUAAGGAAGUGGAGAAGCUACCAAGGCAGAAAUUAAGCGAUGAAGUAGCUAAGACAUUGGUGUCCUCUGCUCUUUACUUGUUCAGCAUUGGAAGCAAUGACUACUUUGUACCUUUCAUUACAAACCCCACUGCGCUUCAAUCCUACAACAGAAACGAGUACAUCAGGAUGGUUAUCGGCAACCUGACAUCUGGUAUCCAAGUGAUAUGUUAAUAACCUAAACAUUCUUUCUGUUUUUCAAAUCGAUCAUAGUCUAUAUAUGGUUUCGCUUUACUGUUCCAGGAAAUAUAUAAGGAGGGAUGAAAUUUCAAUCUUGGCUGCAUCGUGCCGUUUUCCUUCCUGAGAGCACUUAAACGAACUAGAACAAGAAGUUCAGGCUGCAUGGAUGAAGUUGCAGUUCUGACAAAGCUACACAAUAGAGAACUCUCUAAGGUCCUUAAAAAGCUUGAGAGACAGUUUAAUGGAUUUAAGUAUUCAAAUUUUGAUUUCUAUACUUCACAUAGUGAAAGAAUAAAUCAUCCCACCAAAUAUGGUAUGUUUUUAUCUACAUGUCAAUUCAGAAUUUCCUGCUUGUGUUUCUCAAGUAACAAGUCUAUCCUAACUGUCAAGUUCAGGGUAUGACUUGUUUCUAAUCCUUCUAUACCUAUUUUAGGUUUUGAUUGUUGCAACUUGAAUGUGAAGAUUUUGAGAUAAAAGUGGCAUGUUGUGGCGCUAGUCCGUAGUGAGGUUCCAAGUGUGGUCUGAACAAGUUCGAAUUAUGCGAUAAUGCGAGUGAAUAUCUCUUCUUUGAUGGAAUUCAUCCAGCAGAUGAGGUUCAUAAUCAAUUUGCAAAGUUGUUGUGGAGUGGAAAUCCUGAUGUUGGAGGGCCUUACAGUGUCAAAACACUGUUUGAGGAAUAGCAUAAAUGAUAAAACAAGAUGUACUUUUUUCCAGAUGCUGUAUUAGUUAACCCAGAAGCCAAAGAAUACUUGCUUCUCUUUAUUCUAUCUUGACUUGGAAGAAAUGACAUUAGAGGUGAAAGCAGAGUUCUGUUCUUGAGUGGAACACUCACAGGAAUUAGAAAGAUCAUAUCUUGGUUUAGUAAUGCACUAAUUUACGAUGUAUCUGAUCAGCUCCUCAAAAUUCAAGAACCCUCUAAAAUCUAAAUCUGGUCCUUCUGAAAAGAUUCCGGGAGUGGCACAGACUUGAUAAUUUUCAACUUUAAAUUCCUGCUCAGAAUGAUAAGGAAAUACUUGACAUCUUAAAGCUUUCUGAAAGAAGAGAUGCUUAAAAUUCUGUUGGAUGUGUGGAAACAAUUGCUGGACCAGAAUGCCAUCAACACGGGUAUUUCUUCACGUACAAAAUUGCACUUAUCGAUUAUGACCUCUUUGAGAGCUCACAAGACCAACACCCUACCGGCAAGAAACUAAACAAUUGUAGUCCUUUAAGGUUUGGUUCAACUUCACAAGUUUGAAAUUAAUGAAUAAGUUCUUUACAACCUCACGCAGAGAAGCCAUCGGCAAUAGACUCUCUACGAGUAACAAAGGACCAAAGCCAACGACACCUAGAUUUAUCAGCAAAUAUGAGCAAUAAAGUAUGAUCUACCUGUGUCUCAUUCCACUGCAGAAAGUACUGCAGUCAGCUACAGACUGAUUAAAGACAUCAAAGGUAGCUGUAGAAGCUCUCUUGUAAUGAAGCAGCAAAUUGUUAAACCUUAAUUCUGAAGCAGCUUUACAAAAGUUAAAUCAAACAAUAUGUUCAAGAACUAGUGAUAUAGAAGUCUUAGUUCAAGGACUACUAGCAUUUUGACCCAUAGUUCAAGAGUGUUAUGUACCUUUUAGCCUUUAAUUUAUCAGCCUCGUUACAUUGUUGGUGUGGCCUUUCGUUUGUAUUUUUCUCAUGUUCUGUUGGUAUGCUCGACUGGAAAUGAAGCUGAACUUCUUCAUAUUCUUAGGCUUUGGAAAUCAGCCUCAACCUGUCCUCUUUUGAGUUUUGUUUUGGCUUUAGAUUUUGUCAGGCAUUGGUCUACUAAGCAAUGUUGUUGUCAUAAAAUGGUGAUUUGAAGUAUUUUGUAGGCUAGUCUUGAUAUGGCUACCUCUUGUAGUCUCAGGCCACUUAGAAGAUCUAUUGUAAUUUUCUCUGUAGUGUCAAUAUUAUCAAUGAUCCAAUAAAAAAGGGACAUGUCAAUAUUAUCAUUGAUCCAAAAACAAAAGGGACAUGUCAAUAUUAUCAAUUUAUCAAGGUUGGACAUUGGCAGCUUGGACUAAUCAUUGAUAUCCAUGUUAAGUAAAAGCACAGACGACCAAAGGAAUGGGAAGCGAUAGAAAUAUAUUGAAAACUUGAAUAAACAGAAAACAAAAACACCAAUGCUGAGUAGCCAUGGUGGGAUUUAUAUGCAUACAUAUAUUGAUGGAAAGUAGUGAACAUAUGUUGAUAUAUAACAUGCAUAUAGGGUUAAGGUCCCUGCAGCUUCACUGAGAAUCCAUUCAUUUCCAGGAUGAAUGAAGCAAAUUUCAUUAAUCAAAGAACCGAGUAGAAGAAAACUGAUCCCAAUAGCAGCAAUUUAUCAAGACUUUUUAGAAUUUUGGAGUAAAUUUGUAUUUUUUCAGCAAUUUAUCUUAGAUACGAGGCAGCUGUUAAAUUCCAAUUCUAUUGCCUUUCAAUCAAUUAUAUACAAACUGAUGCUUUAAGUCAAUGAUUUCAUACACAGUAGCAGAUUAAAAACACACACUGUACGUUCAUGUCCAUCUUCAAAAUCCUACUAUAAGAAUAGGUUACCGAGCCUCAACAAAUUUUGGGUGCUUCAGAACAUCAAAGCAUCACAGUGUUGGUAUGUCUGACUAAAUUCAAUCACAAAUAAUGAUACCCUAAACUCUCUAUCUCUUAACUUGAGAAACUCGGGAAUUAAUGUCCACAUAUGCAGCACUAUACAGUUCAAUGGCUAAACAUAAUUUAAAUUCAUCUUCUUUACCAAUCAUUCUUGGUUAACUCGCAAAGGAGGUUUGCCGCAUGCAUGCAUCCACCUCUCCAGAUCCAUUAGGUAAUGCAGAAGAAAGACAUUUAAGGACAUUAGUGCUUACCUAAGCAUGUCUCCAGACUGUAAUUUUGGUCCACUCAAUACUGGUGAGAUGCUGAAAUUAUUGCCAUCAGCUUGGAACGAAGGGUGCCCAAGAGGCACUGGUCGAUCUGGAAUCUGUGGAACUUCAAUAUCUCCUUCUAACAUUUUCAGCGCAUCCAGAAUGGUUGGCCUUAGAGCCACCAUUAUAUGAGCACACAAAAUCCCAACCAGCACAAACCUUUCCAUUGUCCCCUUCGGAUUUGAGUUUGAAGAAUCACCACCUCUCAACAAAGAAGCAUCCAAAGCCUGUUCCACUUUUCCAGCUUUCACCAAUGACCAGGCCCAGUCUGUGAUCAACAACGCACGAGGUGACCCUGAAGAAGACAAAUCAAGAGCUUUUCUCCCACACAUUAUCUCCAAAACAACCACCCCAAAGCUAUAAACAUCGCUCUUCUCAGUCAGUUGACCAUAAAGAGCAUAUUCGGGUGCUAAGUACCAAUGAGUUCCAGCCACUCUUGUAGUAAGAUGAGACUGCCCUUCCCUACUUUGCUUUGCCAACCCAAAAUCGGCAACUCUUGCUCUCAUAUCAGCAUCUAACAAUAUAUUUGUCCCCUUGAUAUCUCUAUGAUAUAUUCCAGGCUUGACUCCAUAGUGCAAAUAAGCUAAUCCCCUUGCCACAUCCAAAAUUAUGCUCUUUCUUUGAGGCCAACUUAACAAUUGCUUUUGAAUUUGAUUAACCGAUGAUGGAAAUAAAUGGUCAUCAAGAUUCCCAUUUGACAUGUAAUCACAAACAAGAUACCUCUGAUUGCCUCUCUCAUCAGAAUUUACAUCAUCGUCAAUCACACAGCACCCUCUGAGUGGCACCAAAUUCCUGUGCUUCAAGUUGCUAAUAAUCUCAACCUCAUUGCAAAACUCUGCAUCACCUUUAAAAUCAGAUUCUAUAACCCUUUUAACAGCCACCACAGUCCCAUCAGAUAAAACCCCCUUGUAAACAAAACCAAACCCGCCUCUCCCAAUAAAAUUCUUCUGCGAGAAAUUGUCUGUUGCCUUCUCAAGAUCCUGAAUUUUAAACCAAAUUGACCCUGUAUUCGGCCUCAGUUUAGGCCUAGACCCUUGUUGUUCAUCUAGUCAAAACCAAAGCCUAGAUUCUUUUUCCUUCUCCAUUUCUUAUCAUACCAAAGAUACAAUCCUAACAAACUAGAGAUUACGAAAAUAGCAACACCAGCACAAGUCAAGCCAAAAACAAGAGCAGAAUGAGAAUUGCUAGCUGAACCAACACUUGAAUUCAAUUCCAAACCAAAUAUACAUGAAACAACACCAUCACUUUCAGGACCAAACUCGUUAACAAUACCAGCAGCAUAAAGAACAGCAAAGUAAAAACAAUCUUGAGCAUGAGUUUGAUUACCAUCAGCAUACACCAACAACGACUGUACUGUAAAACCAGCUCUAAGACAAGAAGCACAAGCUGUUUUUACUUUGCUCAUAGAUGGAGUAUCCUUCUAACACCGCUCCUGUAUUACCGGUCAUGAACCCGGGAUUCGGGUCGUGAUAGUUGGUGUGGCCUUUCGUUUUUAUUUUUCUCAUGUUCUGUUCGUAUGCUCGACUGGAAAUGAAGGUGAACUUCUUCCUAUUCUUAGGCUUUGGAAAUCAGCCUCAACCUGUCCUCUUUUGUGUUCUGCUUUGGCUUUAGAUUUUUUCAGGCAUUGGUCUACUAAGCAAUGUUGUUUUCAUAAAAUGGUGAUUUGAAGUAUUUUGUAGGCUAGUCUUGAUAUGGCUACCUCUUGUAGUCUCAGGCCACUUAGAAGAUCUAUUGUCAUUUUCUCUGUAGUGUCAAUAUUAUCAUUGAUCCAAAAACAAAAGGGACAUGUCAAUAUUAUCAAUUUAUCAAGGUUGGACAUUGGCAGCUUGGACUAAUCAUUGAUAUCCAUGUUAAGUAAAAGCACAGACGACCAAAGGAAUGGGAAGUGAUAGAAAUAUAUUGAAAACUUGAAUAAACAGAAAACAAAAACACCAAUGCUGAGUAGCCAUGGUGGGAUUUAUAUGCAUAAAUUUAAUAUUGAUGGAAAGUAGGGAACAUAUGUUGAUAUAUAACAUGUAUAUAGGGUUAAGGUCCCUGCAGCUUGACUGAGAAUUCAUUCAUUUCCUGGAAGAAUGAACCAAAUUUCAUUAAUCAAAGAACCGAGUAGAAGAAACCUGAUCCCAAUAGCAGCAAUUUAUCUAGACUUUUUGGAAUUUUGGGGUAAAUUUGUAUUUUUUCAGCAAUUUAUCUUAGAUACGAGGCAGAGGUUAAAUUCCAAUUCACAGUAGCAGAUUAAAAACACACACUGUACGUUCAUGUCCAUCUUCAAAAUUCUACUAAGAAUAGGUUACCAAGCCUCGACAAAUUUUGGGAGCUUCAGAACAUCAAAGCAUCACAGUGUUGGUAAGUCUGACGAACUUCUAUCACAACUAAUGAUACCCUAAACUCUCUACCUCUUAACUUGAGAAACUCAGGAAUUAAUCUCCACAUACUGAGCACUAUACAGUUCAAUGGUUCAACAUACUUUAAAUUCAUCUUCUUUACCAAUCAUUCUUGGAUAUGCAGGUUAACUCGCGAAAGAGGUCUGCCGCAUGCAUGCACCCACCUCUCUAGAUCCAUUAGGUAAUGCAGAAGAAAGACAUUUAAGGACAUUAGUGCUUACCUAAGCAUGUCACCAGGCUGUAAUUUUGGUCCACUCAAUACUGGUGGACUAUUUUGAUAAAUAACUGGGUUUUUAAGUGAACACCUGUUGAACCACGGUCAAAACCAGUCAAUAGUCCAGAGAAACAGUUUUGGAAAGCCUAAUUCCCGUUCGAUGAUUUCACGAUUCCAUCAAUCACUUAUCAACAAUUUUUAAUUAAAUUUAACAAAAUUAAUUAAGGGGAUUUUUGAGAAAAUCUUUGUCGAUAUACAAUCAUCGAUCUUUUGAUCAAAUUUUGAAGUCUACCUAUGAUCAUCAGCAGCUACGACAAAGUGGAAGAUUCGACUUCACCAUUGACAUAUAUAAAGAUUUUUUAUUACUAGAAACCUGGGUUUCUGUAGAGAUAUUAAAUGAAGUUAUAUUUACCACUUGACAAUUACCUUUUAUGGAAGAGCCUAGGCAUAUAUGGCCAUGGGUUGUAAGACUCUCCACCACAUUUUUACAAGUGUUUUAGGCCCAUUAUUGGUCAUUCGGCUAAGAAACACACAUGAAAUCCUAUAAAAUGUACCCAAAAAAGAGCCUCAAAUAUACACACACACAUUCUCAGACAGCUGAAAGCAGCAUUUGUUGCCAGCACGAGGCUUGAGCAACAGUCCUACAGCCAGCAAAAUUGACUUUUUUUUUCUUCAGGUAAAUCUCUUUGCUUCUCUUCUUAUCGAUGUUAAUGAUAAUCUUCUGUUAUAUUAUAUGUUGUUUCUCUGUCUGCUAAAUUCAGUUACAUCUAUUGUGGUUUGGAAUUUAUAGAUACUAAAGAUGUUAGUUUAUCCUGGCAACUAUAUAUGUUGGAGUUUAGAUCAACAAAGUACUGAGAAAGUGUUUGUGGGUUCGAUUCAAUAAAGAAGAUUUAGAAGGACCAAGUUGGUGAUAUAGGAGGACUGUUACUGCUUUAGGCAAUGGAAAGAAAUGCAUGAUCUAUUGACAUGUGUUUCUAAUAAGAAGAAAAGGAUUAGUGUUUGAUUGAUGCAUGUAUGAUCUAUUGACAUGUGUUCAUAACAGGGGGACUUUUUGUAGCUUCGGUUUCAAAGCUGCUACUAGGGAUCUCCGGUGGAAUUUUGAGCUGGGGUUUGAUGGGGUAUUUGAAGACGGGGAUCUUUUUUCUUGCUGUUUUAGGUCAGUACAGUAGAUUGGUGAUUAUUUCUUAGAGCGAGAUUGGUUGAAGGGCGUGUCAAUAGGUGCAUGGGAGGGAUGGAGCUGGCUCUUGGAAAAGCACCAUUAGUGAUUGGAAAGUCUUUCAUCUGAGGUCGGAGAUGGGUGAAGGAACUUGUUGCGACAAGUGUUUGAUGUGGUGAAGAAGAAAAGGGUAUUGAUAUUUAGUUAUAUUGUGAACGAAAUAGACUGAAAUCUAAUGAAGCUAAUUGAUUUCUUUCGGCCAAUAUGAAGUGUGUUGAUAAUAGGUAUUGAAAAGUUCUAGGUGGUUUUCCGCGCAUCCAAGACCCAAGCAUUUCUCACUUCUGCAUAUUUAAGGAUGCUGAAAACAAUGCCCAUUAGACCUCAUUUUCUCUUUCCAUCUUCCCAUUUUCUUAGUUUUUCUCUUAUUGUAAUCGGUGUUCAAUGAAGUUUUCUAAAAACUUGGUUUCCUUCUUGUUUCCAUUUACCAAUUUCCACCUGAUCUGGCUUAAGCAGUUGUUUCUAAUGAAUUCUCAAUGUGUAGCAGAAAUUACGCUUGCUUGUUGGAUAUUAUACAUAAACACUUAAACUUUGUCCCGCCAUCAUUAUUUGUAAGCUUAUAAACAAUUUCAUAUCAUUUGAAUCGGCGUCCUUCCCCUUAGCUACUGAAUCGUAAUGUAAUUUCAAGUGAAAACAAAUUCCACACCUGCAUUUCUCAGGAGAGAGUAUUUCAGCUGACACAUUUUUCAGUCUGGGACUCUAUUUCUGAAUACUUGCUAUCCCAUCGCUGACUGCUAUGUAUUGUUUGCAUAUUUGUUUAUUGAUUGCAGCCACCAGAUUCAUCCAGGAGAAGCCACCAUUUCCAACCAGUGCUUUCGUGAAUGGAAUCAGACAUGGUUAUCCAUAAUGGAGGAUGUCAUUGCAGGAGAGUAAGGUGGCGAGUCCAAGCACCAAGUAGUGUUGUCGCUUGGAACUGCAACUGUUCUGAUUGUUCCAUGAGGGGAAACAUUCAGUUCAUUGUCCCUUCUGAAAAGUUUGAGCUUCUUGGAGAUUCCAAAGAAUUUCUUACAACCUACACUUUUGGCACACAUACAGCAAAGCACACAUUCUGUAAGUUCUGUGGCAUAACUUCGUUUUACGUUCCACGAUCACAUCCAGAUGGGGUUUCAAUUACUUGCAGAUGUGUUGACCCUGGGACUCUCACUCAUGUUGAGAUUAAGC